RNAcentral lists this ribosomal RNA (449 nucleotides) under uncultured bacterium. RNAcentral describes it as "partial 16S ribosomal RNA". It matches the Rfam family "Bacterial small subunit ribosomal RNA", at positions 354 to 796 of the family's 1533-position model. The record is from RNAcentral.
GUCGAGAAUCUUUCACAAUGGGGGCAACCCUGAUGGAGCGACGCCGCGUGGAGGAUAAGGUCUUCGGAUUGUAAACUCCUGUCAUGCGUGAACAAGGUUGCUUGGUUAAUACCUGGGCAAAUUGAUGGUAACGCAAGAGGAAGAGACGGCUAACUCUGUGCCAGCAGCCGCGGUAAUACAGAGGUCUCAAGCGUUGUUCGGAAUCACUGGGCGUAAAGGGUGCGUAGGUGGCGUGGUAAGUCAGAUGUGAAAGCCCGGGGCUCAACCUCGGAACUGCAUCCGAUACUGCCAUGCUAGAGUACUGGAGAGGUGACUAGAAUUCUCGGUGUAGCAGUGAAAUGCGUAGAUAUCGAGAGGAAUACCAAAGGCGUAGGCAGGUCACUGGACAGUUACUGACACUGAGGCACGAAGGCCAGGGGGGCGAACGGGAUUAGAAACCCCGGUAGUCC